AUACGUAGGGGGCGAGCGUUACCCGGAUUCACUGGGCGUAAAGGGGGCGUAGGCGGCCAGGUGUGUCCGGUGUGAAAGCCCACGGCUCAACCGUGGGACUGCGCCGGAAACUACCUGGCUUGAGGGCGCUAGAGGGAGACGGAACUGCCGGUGUAGGGGUGAAAUCCGUAGAUAUCGGCAGGAACGCCGGUGGGGAAGCCGGUCUCCUGGGGCGUCCCCGACGCUGAGGCCCGAAAGCCAGGGGAGCGAACCGGAUUAGAUACCCUAGUAGUCC
RNAcentral lists this ribosomal RNA (274 nucleotides) under uncultured bacterium. Its description in RNAcentral is "partial 16S ribosomal RNA". It matches the Rfam family "Bacterial small subunit ribosomal RNA", at positions 523 to 796 of the family's 1533-position model. The record is from RNAcentral.